GUUGCUGGGAGGGGCGGCGUCCGGGGCCGCAGCGGUGUCUCCCCGGGGAGGAGGAGCGCGGGGCUUUGUCCGUGCUCACCAAGAGGCAUAAAGGAGGGGAAAACCGCAAAGCAACUGAAAGCGACUCCGCUCCAACACCCCCUCCCCCUCCCGCCCAGGUGUCCCCGUAGUCUUGCGGGGCACCGCACACCACGAGCAGCAGCUCCCACGAGGACGGCAAUGGCUCCUCCACAGCCCCCCCAAACCCCUCACAUUUCAGCUCCCAAAGUCCCCACUUCCUUUUCAACAUCUCUUCCCACAUUUUCUUCCCCUCCUUCCUUCCAUCCCCACCCCCCUUUGAAGCAUCCCUCAGCUCAGACCUUCCCAGGCCACUCACAAACAACCCUUUACCACCACAUUUCUCCACGGGAUUUAUGUUUCAACACCAUCAUCCCAGAUAUUACCCUCUGAGGACACAGAUGAGAACGAAGUGAAGGACAGCUGUGACCCAAAAGCACCCCCAGGACACGAGUGCUGGGCACAGCACACACGCCCUGUCCUUCAGCAUUUCCCUUUGCUCCAUUCUCCCCAGCCUUAACCUAAAACCUUUAUUGUUCCGGGAUGACGUUAGGAUGUAUCGGUGUAGACAGAGCUGUCAGGAUUUCUGUUUUUUUCCCCAAAGCCGUGCCACAUUUCUCACCCUGAUGCUGAGGACAAAAGGACUGAGUCCCACACACACGGCUGUCUGCAGACGGGCAGCAAUAAAAGUUGAUUAUUAAUAAGCCACAUGGAUCCGGGCCAUGGCAGCUGCGACAUUGCUGGGAAGAGAUAAAGAAAAUUGCAGAGGUGGAGGGAAAACGUGCCAAGGGGGGGGACAAGUGUGUCCCCAGCAGAGAUCAACCGGACCCCAAGCACUGCAUGGUCCCGAGUUACGGAGGAGAAUGAGGACUGGAGACUUCCCAGCUCCCAUUCCUCCACACCAGGGCUGAAGAUUUGGGAUGUGGCGUUUCAAGGCUCAGGGAACACUCAGUGCGAACGCUUUGGGGACCGCUGGGCAGCCCAGUGCCCCCACAUUGCAGAACAUCCCCAGCAGUGUUGGGGAACGGGGCAGAGGGAAGGGCAAGAAAUUCCCAAUCUGUUCGGCUCCCAUUCUUGCCUCCCCUUUUGUUCCACUCGCCAUCUGUCCCGCAGCCCUGCACACCCCACACUCCCUCCACACAUGCUGUAAAUUAUCAAGCUGGGUUUUGUCUCUGCUUCUAAAGGCACAGUGUGCCCGGAGCCGUGCUGCAUCCCCAAGUGCCAGCCUUAGAGCUGUGAGGGCUGGCACUGCCGGGGGUCCUGCUGCUCCUUCCUGACUGCUGGGAUCUGGGGGGCGCACCCCUGCCGUGCUCUGCUCCUCGGGGAUUUGUAAGUGUGCCAUUCCCUCUCAGAGCCAUCCCCGGGGGAGGAGGGGUCCCAAUCCCUCUCUAGGGGAGCAGCACCCCAUCUGCUGUCCCAGCCUGGAUACGGCCUUUUAGCUCACAACAAAGCCACCAACCCGUCAGCAAGGGAGCAAGGGCAGCUGCUCCGCUUCAGCCCAGUCCUUCCCCUUCCCUGUUUUAUCUGGGGCUAUAAUAGACACAAACUCCCGGGUAAAAGGGCAUUGUCAGAGGGAAAAUGGGCCUCACCCUCCGUCUGGCAGCUGGGAGCCAGGGGACGGCGCAGGGCUCAGCGGCAUUGUUGCUGUUUCCAUAAGGCGUUUCCUGGUGUGUCCUGGAGGAGCAGUGCUGCACGCAGUGUCACCAAUCCCAGCUCACUCAGUGCAGCAGCUGCGUGGGCAGUGGGGCACAGAGAAAGCCCAACAUCCCCUGCGUGGCUCUGAACCCCCACCUGGCAGGGGAACCUUCAGGGACUCAGCAUCCCAGAUAAUGACCUGUGGGGAGCGGUGAUGCUCCCAUCCCAGGGCCGGCCAGACACCACAUCCCCACUGCUGCAGUCCCUCGGUGUGCUUUGGGAAUGGCACAGCCCUCAGGGACAGUGGCACAGCGUCCCCAGGGACAGCAGGGCACAGCUCUGUCCCUACGGUUCAUGCCCCACAAUGUGUUGGGACACUGCACUCCUCCCAUCUCGCAGAGCGGAGGACAGAAGAGUUCAGGACCAGGUUGCCCAGUGCCAACAGACUCCUCAAAUAACAGUAAUUACUAUUAGAAUAUUUAAUAAGAGCAGUAUGCAAAGCAGCAAGCUCUGCCCUGACCUGCAUGAUGCGGGGAGGCUGCUUUUCUCCCCAGCGCUCCCAGCCCUUCUCUUGGAAAACAAAAGGUGCAAAGUUCAGUGGUGCAUGAAAGAGAAACAAAACCCGGUCCCAGCCGCAGCCCCCCCACUCUCCCACCAGACAGAUGGCAGCAGUUGUCCCCGCACACCAGUUGCUCACUGUUGCCAAUAAGCCCCUUUAUCCCACAACAGGUUGUAAAUGAGAGCGUUGGAGCUCAGCAGCCACUGUCAUGGAGGGGCUGGAGUGGGGACAGAGACAGGAACGGGGAUGGGGACAGGGAUGGGGAUGGGAUGGGAUAGGGAUAGAGAUAGGGAUGGGGGUGGGGACAGGGACAGGAUGGAGAUGGGAUGGGGAUAGGGCAGGAAUGGGGACUGAAAUGGGGAUGGGGAUGGUUGCCCCCAUGGGAUGUGCAGUGGAAAACAAAAAAAGCAGCUCCAUGCUGCCUGCCCAUCUGUCAAGGCCCCACAUCCCAGGGGACACAGUGGGAGGGUGGCUGGGGCGAGGCAGCCCCCAGGAUCCCAUUCCCCUGUUUUUACCGAGGACCAGAAAGGGGUAUCUCCUCUGUGCUGGUGUCUGUAGGGCUGGUGGGGACACACAGGCUUAGGGUCAGGGCUGCAGGAAGCUCAGGCUCUGCUCUGCAGAUCGUGUGCAAGGAAGGGAGGAAAGGUCUGUCAGGACAAAGGGCAGGUGGGGAGCGUGGUACCCCAGCAGGAUCCGCUCUGCCAGCCCUGCUGAGGGGCAGAAACCAGCAGGGCAGGAACCCACACGCAGCACGAGAUGUGGGUUUGCCAGAGCUGGUGCUGCUGCAGCCCCUCCAACCACAGAAAGCACCGUGCUGUUGCUGGGCCAGGUGAGUGCAGUUUCUCCGGCUCUGGCAGAUCCUGGGAAGGUGGUUUGAGCUGCGCACACUGCAGGUGACGGCGUGCCCUGGGCAUCCCCUCCCAUCUCCAGGGCUGGGGCAGAGCUGCUGCAUUGCCCCAGAUACAGGCACCCACGCAGUGCUGAUUGGCCUCAGCUGAGCUGACAUCACCGCUCCCGUCCCAGUGGCAAACCCCGGGCAGGAAGCACCUGGAGGAGUCUGACCCCACGCCAUGUACUGGGGAGGGUGGAGGCUGGGUUUCACUUCUGCUGACGUUGCUUUUCUGACAGCCCCAACCCAGCAGGAAGGACAGGUGGGGCAGAGCAAAGGGCACCGGGCAGCACUCCGGCCCAGGACACGUCGGGGAUGAAUGCUGGUUUAUGCAACGUGCCAAUCGCUGAUGGCAGGGGGCACCGACCGACCUGGGCUCCUUGAAUCAGACGCUUCCAGCAGAAACAUCCAAAAUAAAAUAAAAGUAAAAAUCCCAGCAGAAAGCUUGACAGAAAGAGUGUCCAAAUGGCAUCAGGAGGUGGGGAAUGGUGGCUGUGCCUUUAUUUACUUCCAGUCUGUCCUGAAGUGGUCCCGGGGUGUCACUCUGCACCCCUCCCCACACCCCAGAGCUGAUCCUGAGGGACCGUGAUCCGACCAGAAGGAAAAUGACGAGCAAAAUAAAAAUAGGAGAU
This is a long non-coding RNA of Gallus gallus (chicken), 3772 nucleotides long. RefSeq lists it as uncharacterized. NCBI's taxonomy places the organism in Eukaryota, Metazoa, Chordata, Aves, Galliformes, Phasianidae. The record is from RefSeq and is a predicted model, not a curated record. The transcript is spliced from 2 exons.